ACAAAUCUGUGUUUCACAUGGGAUGGCUUAUGGACUAGGGUAGGGUGGACACCUCACUUCCCAAAUUUGUGAAGGGUUGCCUCCAGUACCAGGUUCAUGAACAAUUUAAAAAUACAUGAAAAUCAAACUCAUUGUCUGUCUACUGAAGGAAUGGAACCAUGCACCAUAUCUCACUAGAAAUAAUACUGUGCUGCUGUUCUGCUGUCUUGGAUUAAACAUAUAGGAACAUGAGAAGCCAAAGAGGCUACUAUAAUAAGGACUGAGGACAGCAACAGGUGGCCGUACUUAUCAAGUAAACCGCAUAGAAUCUGGACUCCACUCAGUUGUCCAAAAGCGGGGUCAGGUUUUGCCUUGAUCCUGAAAAUUUAUUGCACAUUCCUGGGAGCUGUGCAUUUCUGCAGUUGAUCCCGGCGCAUGUGCUUAGCAGUAGAAUAAGCCUGCUUGGUUUUAUUUUUUAUUUUUUAAAAAAUUAGAAAGUUCCUGGCCUGUUAAGAAUUUUCUGGGGCUAGGAUAAUAAUCCAUGAGAGAAUCCAAAGGAAAUAUGUAAAUCAAUACAGAAGCCGGCCUGCCUCCCCUCAUAAAUAGCUUGAACUGAAUGCUGCCCAUCAGCCUAACCCCAUUUUAAAUAGGCAGCUGGUGAUGUCAUGGCUUAUGUUGCCAAUGCCCUGGUUGCUUGCCUCCCUCCUCCCUCUGACUACUUUAGUCCCACCAGAGGAACUGGGAAUCCAGACUGCCCUGGGAGAUGAGGAGAAGCUGAGGAAAGCCCCGGGUACCACGGGUUCGUGCUGUGCUCCAUCCUUCCUCUCCAGCCACAUUGACUUCUUACGCUCCAGAGCAGAAGUGAAAAGCUUGGCAGAGCCGGUGCCUUCUUCCCCUGCCCAAACCUCACCAGUCAUUACCUACAUCUGGCUGCAGAGCCAGUGGUUGGGAGUUGGAUUCCCCACUGUGCCUCCUUGACAGCAGCUGGAAUGGAUGAUCCAAAGGGUCCCUUCCAGCUCUGCAGUUCUAAGAUCGCUGCUGCUGUUGUUUCCAGUUGACCUUUUUGUGUAGAGUCCUGGCUUCAACAGGGGCUGGAGAGUGACCUUGGGCUCUCGAAGGCUGUGACCGCACACCACAAGCUCUGACACAUUGUACUAAGCCGGUAUGUCUUUGAGCAUAGCCUUAGAUUGUGCAUCUACCAUAGGAGAGCCACCCUAACUAAAUGCAGAGGCUCCUCACCAGAAGGCCAUCAAGUAAUGAAUUGGCUGCAGCAACUAUGAACACAAUGACAUUGUGAAAUAGUUGUGCUCUGCAUGGGUGGAGGGACUAACUCCGCCCAAUGAAAUCAUGGAGGU
Molecule: long non-coding RNA, 1334 nt
Filed under: Pogona vitticeps (central bearded dragon)
Lineage: Eukaryota; Metazoa; Chordata; Lepidosauria; Squamata; Agamidae
Description: lncRNA (ENSPVIG00000014731.1)
Source: RNAcentral